UGGAUCCAGACUUUGAUCAUGGCUCAGGACGAACGCUGGCGGCGUGCCUAACACAUGCAAGUCGAACGGAACUUUUUCAGAAGAUUCUUUCGGGAUGAUUUUGGUUAAGUUUAGUGGCGGACGGGUGAGUAACGCGUGAGUAACCUGCCUUUGAGAGGGGAAUAACAAUCUGAAAAGAUUGCUAAUACCGCAUAACAUAUACGAAUCGCAUGGUUUGUAUAUCAAAGAUUUUAUCGCUCAAAGAUGGACUCGCGUCCGAUUAGUUAGUUGGUGAGGUAACGGCUCACCAAGACCGCGAUCGGUAGCCGGACUGAGAGGUUGAACGGCCACAUUGGGACUGAGACACGGCCCAGACUCCUACGGGAGGCAGCAGUGGGGGAUAUUGCGCAAUGGGGGCAACCCUGACGCAGCAACGCCGCGUGAAGGAUGAAGGUUUUCGGAUUGUAAACUUCUUUUAUUAAGGACGAAUAAUGACGGUACUUAAUGAAUAAGCUCCGGCUAACUACGUGCCAGCAGCCGCGGUAAUACGUAGGGAGCAAGCGUUGUCCGGAUUUACUGGGUGUAAAGGGUGCGUAGGCGGCUUUGCAAGUCAGAUGUGAAAUCUAUGGGCACAACCCAUAAACUGCAUUUGAAACUGUAGAGCUUGAGUGAAGUAGAGGCAGGCGGAAUUCCCCGUGUAGCGGUGAAAUGCGUAGAGAUGGGGAGGAACACCAGUGGCGAAGGCGGCCUGCUGGGCUUUAACUGACGCUGAGGCACGAAAGCGUGGGUAGCAAACAGGAUUAGAUACCCUGGUAGUCCACGCUGUAAACGAUGAUUACUAGGUGUGGGGGGUCUGACCCCUUCCGUGCCGGAGUUAACACAAUAAGUAAUCCACCUGGGGAGUACGGCCGCAAGGUUGCAACUCAAAUGAAUUGACGGA
Molecule: ribosomal RNA, 919 nt
Filed under: uncultured Bacillota bacterium
Lineage: Bacteria; Bacillati; Bacillota
Description: bacterial SSU rRNA
Rfam family: Bacterial small subunit ribosomal RNA
Source: RNAcentral